Cyprinus carpio (common carp) is the source of this 637-nucleotide long non-coding RNA. The record is from Ensembl. NCBI's taxonomy places the organism in Eukaryota, Metazoa, Chordata, Actinopteri, Cypriniformes, Cyprinidae.
GGCAAUGCAAAACUAGUCCAUACAGUUUGUGCACUAUAUUCCAAGUCAUUAACAUCAUAUGAUAUUUCUCCUUUUAUUCCACAUAAGAAAGAAAAGUAUAUAGGAAUGAAUGUGAGUAAAUGAUGACUGAAUUUUCAUUUUUGGGUGAGCUAGUCCUUUAAAACGAAUGCAUUAGUGAGAGAAUAGACUAAACAUCUGGGAAGCCAAUAUUUGUGGUUCACUGAGAUUCUCUCAGACCAAAAUGUUUUGAAAUUCAACUCCCUAGAAAAUAUGCUGGAAUGCAAUGGGAAGAAGAGAAAGCAAAGUCAAGCAGCGGUACAGUUAAUGUUACAGUAGAGUAGACUGGCACGCCGGGCGCAGCUCAGUUGAUCUUUAAGACAGUUACUAUGAAUAUAACAUCUACUGCUGUGAAGAGAGGAGAACCAGAAGAAGACCAGAAAAUCCGGUUCGCAGAAGUGUGGAGUCCCUCCCAAUGCAUCUUUCUCAGUUUUGCAGACUAGAAACGUGAGACUGAUUCCAUUGAUGCAAGAAGCCUUCAGGCCUGAAAUUAGAGUUUGACAGAGUUUGACAUGGAAGCUUUCAAGCCAACAUACUUGUACCGAGAGUGUUUUACUUCUGUUUAAUGUUCACUAUUUAC